GACGAACGCUGGCGGCGUGCCUAACACAUGCAAGUCGAACGGAAAGGUCCUGCUUUUGUGGGGUGCUCGAGUUGCGAACGGGUGAGUAACACGUGAGUAACCUGUCCCUGACUUUGGGAUAUCCUCAUGAAACUUGUGCUAAUACCGGAUAGGAGUUCCCGCUGCUUGGUGGGGGUUGGACUGUUUCGGCUGUUGGGGAUGUACCCGCGGCUUAUCAGCUUGUUGGUGGGGUAGUGGCUGACCAAGGCUUUGACAGGUAGCCGGGCUGGGAGGGUGACCGGACAAGUCAGGACUGAAAUGCGGCACAGACUAGACCGGGAGGCAACGGUGGAGAAGGGAGUACAGUGGGAGGAAGGAUAGUGCAGCGAAGCCGCGUGGGGGAAAACGGGCUGCGGGUAGGAAACCGCAUUCGCCUGUGACGAGGCGUGAGUGACGGUAAUGGGUGAAGAAGCACCGGCUAACUACGUG
RNAcentral lists this ribosomal RNA (468 nucleotides) under uncultured bacterium. RNAcentral's name for it is "partial 16S ribosomal RNA". It matches the Rfam family "Bacterial small subunit ribosomal RNA", at positions 28 to 507 of the family's 1533-position model. The record is from RNAcentral.